UACGUAGGGUGCAAGCGUUGUCCGGAAUUAUUGGGCGUAAAGAGCUCGUAGGCGGCUUGUCGCGUCGGCUGUGAAAACCUGGGGCUCAACCCCGGGCCUGCAGCCGAUACGGGCAAGCUAGAAUUCGGUAGGGGAGACUGGAAUUCCCGGUGUAGCGGUGAAAUGCGCAGAUAUCUGGAGGAACACCGGUGGCGAAGGCGGCAUCCUGGACCAACACUGACGCUGAUGAGCGAAAGCCAGGGGAGCAAACGGG
RNAcentral lists this ribosomal RNA (253 nucleotides) under uncultured bacterium. RNAcentral describes it as "partial 16S ribosomal RNA". It matches the Rfam family "Bacterial small subunit ribosomal RNA", at positions 524 to 776 of the family's 1533-position model. The record is from RNAcentral.